This 254-nucleotide ribosomal RNA is filed under the name uncultured bacterium. Its description in RNAcentral is "partial 16S ribosomal RNA". It matches the Rfam family "Bacterial small subunit ribosomal RNA", at positions 524 to 776 of the family's 1533-position model. The record is from RNAcentral.
UACGAAGGGGGCUAGCGUUGCUCGGAAUGACUGGGCGUAAAGGGCGCGUAGGCGGCUUCUUAAGUUUGGGGUGAAAGGUUCAGCGCUCAACGUGAACAGUGCCUUGAAUACUGGGGAGCUUGAAUGUGGCAGAGGGUCAUGGAAUUUCCGGUGUAGCGGUGAAAUGCGUAGAUAUCGGAAGGAACACCAAUGGCGAAGGCAGUGACCUGGGCUAACAUUGACGCUGAGGUGCGAAAGCGUGGGGAGCGAACGGG